CAGUAGCGUAUAUUAAAGCUGUUGCGGUUAAAAAGCUCGUAGUUGGAUAUCAGUGCGUGUCCGGUCCGGUAUGCCCGGCGGCGGCGCUCGCGCGUCACUGCCGGGCUCCCAAAUAUCGGCUGGCCGCAUUCAAUCGUGCCGGAUCCGUCGACGGGCCGUUCUACGGAGGGGCCUGUUGGCGACCGGCGACGUUACCUUGAACAAAUUAGAGUGCUCAGAGCAGGCUCUGAAUGCCUGUAUACAUAUUCAUGGAAUUGGAGAAUACGUCCCUGGCUCGAUUUGGUUGGUUUUGAGAGUCGAAGGGAAAUGAUUAAUAGGGACUGACGGAGGCAUUCGUAUUGCGACGCGAGGGGUGAAAUCCUGUGACCGUCGCACGACGAACUACUGCGAAAGCAUUUGCCGAGAAUGUUUUCAUUAG
RNAcentral lists this ribosomal RNA (418 nucleotides) under uncultured eukaryote. RNAcentral describes it as "partial 18S ribosomal RNA". It matches the Rfam family "Eukaryotic small subunit ribosomal RNA", at positions 592 to 976 of the family's 1831-position model. The record is from RNAcentral.